UAUGGAAUUGGCGGAAAUGACUGGCAGAAUCCGAGACCAGGCAGAAGAGUCGGUGGAAGAAGACUGGAAAAAGUUUAAAGACUAUUUACAGAAAUACUGUAAAAUUAAUGAAUGUUAGAAAAAUGUUGGAAUGAAGUUAUAUGGCUUUAGUAGAAAUGUUAUAAGGAAUUAAGUAUAAAUAGAUUAAUAGAGUAUUAAAGGGAAAAAUAAGGUUAGAAUGUGUUAAGAUAAUUAUAGGAUAGAAAGCAGAGGAAGAUGGAAAGGAAUUGCUGAAACAAUUAAUAGAAGUGGAAUACAAAAAGGGAGGUGUGAGGAGGUCAUUGAAAUAAGUGAAUGAAAGAUAAGAUAUUGAAAUUGUUUGAUGUGUUUUAAACUGUUUUUGUUUUGUUUUGUUAGUUUAAUGUGUUAGUGUUAUUUAGUGUUUUUGUAUUGUAUUGUAUUGUUCAUUUUCUUUUGUUUGUAGUGUUUAAAUUGUUGGAAAAGUAAUAAAUAUUAUUUU
RNAcentral lists this long non-coding RNA (499 nucleotides) under Podarcis lilfordi (Lilford's wall lizard). Lineage: Eukaryota; Metazoa; Chordata; Lepidosauria; Squamata; Lacertidae. The record is from RNAcentral.